UUCAGGUUAUUUUAGUCAGGGAGCUUGAGGACAGUCAUGCCAGAUAACAUGAAAAAAAUGUAUUUUUUGCAGGAGGAUGAACAGUGUCCAUCUGACAUAAAUCUACUGAGACACAAAUCUUCGUGUCAGAAAAACAAAGGAGCAUCACUGCUGUCAUCUUUCUUCCUACCUAAGCACAUGCAAUGGGGUUUUUGCUUAAAAAAAUAAAAAUAAAAAAAGGCUGUUAGUGAGCCUUGUAUUAACACAUUUCAGAUGAAUAUAUAUAUUUAUUUAUACAUAUAUAUAUGUACGUGCAAUACAGGAGCACAGAUCAAUACAUCAACAGAUGACCACAAAAAUGAAGUGGCAACUGCUUGGAAGGCUAUCCUGUUUGCAAGUUUGCUUUUAUUGAUUUGAAGCAUCUUCUUCCUCUGAUCUUCUGCAUCUGGAGAGCUUGAGUACUAAAGGAACUACUAGGGAGCACAGAUUUCACAGAGAAAAUAGGAAAAGGUCAGGAAAGCUGUUGCCAUUCUGUAUGUUAGUUUCUCAUAUCUGCUGUUUUCUGAACUCAUUGGAGAAAACAGGAGUGAAUUCUGAAUAAUCUCUAACAGGUCAUCAGUUCUCUGCAGAGUGUAACCCAGAAAAACUUCCGGAAACCCAACCUCUUUUCUCUAACUUUUUUCUAAGCAUAUUUGGGCUGCUCUCUGGUGGAUGGUGGUGACUGACUAAGGGAUUACAAAUCUUUUCAGAAAAACUCUCUUCCUUGGGAAGCUAGCAGAUUGUCAGGAACUUGUUUUAGACUCCAUUCUGGGCUCUUUUGAAAAUCUGCCUGGUUUCUCAGCAAGAGCCACAUGUUGCCAAGAACACUUGAAAACACAGCCUCAGCUAUAGGUUGCUGGUCUCCUCAAAUGCCUGGCUCUGCUGAAACCUGAUUCACUACAACCAGCAGCCAAAGAUAGGCCUAGAGAUGCCCUGUGAACUUCUCAGGCAGCUCUGAGGCUGACCUAUGACAUCUGGAGCUCAUCCCCAGCACAGACUUCCAUCCGUGCCAAAUGAUGCUGCCAUCUGGUGACCCAGUUCCCUAGUGGCAUGGACACUGCUGGUGUUAGUGGACUCAAUAGCAGUCCUUCCAGGAACAGCUCACACCUGGAAUACAGCUUAGAGCCGUUAUGCUGUAAGGCUCCCCUCAAGCUCCCCUUGGAGCUCUGGCAUCUCUCUUGCAACACUUAACCAAAGCUCUCUGCCAAAGGUGGAUGCUGUUGGUGUGACUGGAACUCCUCUAAUCUUCUCUCAUCAGGCCUGGACUCACCAGUCGUCAUUACAGGACCACAGAAAUGAGGCACAACAGAAGAAGGUUCAGCCUCAAAAUGUAGUCUUGACUUUUCUGACUGAUUUUUUUCCAGUUUUGUCAGACCUGCACUCUACUUCAAUCUGAUUCUGAUCGUAUCAUGAUCUGAGUGUAUAGUUUGAGAUCUGUUGUAUCCAUUACCUGAGCUUUCAAUUAAACUCAGAGUUAAAAAUUUAGCAGACUCCUGCAAAAAGCAGAAUCUUUUUAGUUAAUCAAAAUGAAAAUGUUGUCAAAUGAGUUGCACUAAAGACAUUUCUGCAGCUAAUUUCUGAAUGAAAAGAAAUAUACUUUCCUGGAUGUUAAUUUUUUACUGCGUAAAUCCUCAAAUCCAACUAAACUGUGCUGAAUCAUUCUGCUAUAGCUUAACUACUUUGCGUUGGAAAUAACCUAGGUGUUCCAUUUCUGAUGUGGUAGCUAAUUAAAGACGUUCUGUCAAGGUUGACAGGUCUAAAAUGUGUGUUGCACUGAUAAUUAAAAAGAAGAGCACCCUACCCAUAAUAAACUGGAGUCAUGUUGCAAUCU
Long non-coding RNA from Cygnus atratus (black swan), 1849 nucleotides. RefSeq lists it as uncharacterized. The record is from RefSeq and is a predicted model, not a curated record. The transcript has 3 exons. Lineage: Eukaryota; Metazoa; Chordata; Aves; Anseriformes; Anatidae.